Olea europaea var. sylvestris is the source of this 289-nucleotide long non-coding RNA. RefSeq lists it as uncharacterized. The record is from RefSeq and is a predicted model, not a curated record. The transcript is spliced from 2 exons. Lineage: Eukaryota; Viridiplantae; Streptophyta; Magnoliopsida; Lamiales; Oleaceae.
UCUCAACCAUAUAAGGUACGUUCCAUUGCUUUUAUAUACUAAAUGUGCCAUAAUGUUGUGCUUGUACUAUAAUUGUUUGAUUUUGCAGGAAAAGAAUGAUAGAUUCAAAAAGAUGAGAGCUAGUCAAACUAUGUUGCACACAACGAGUAGAAAAGGCUUUGCUCGCUUAGAAGCUGAAAUGCGUAUUGAAAGUGAAGACCCUGAUUCCAUUAAGAGAAAUGAUAUUUAUAUUCGAGGACAUACGCGAAAAAAUGGUGGAUCAAUUAAUGAAUCAGUUGGGGAAACAUUG